RNAcentral lists this ribosomal RNA (301 nucleotides) under uncultured bacterium. RNAcentral describes it as "partial 16S ribosomal RNA". It matches the Rfam family "Bacterial small subunit ribosomal RNA", at positions 509 to 808 of the family's 1533-position model. The record is from RNAcentral.
CAGCAGCCGCGGUAAUACAGAGGGUGCAAGCGUUAAUCGGAAUUACUGGGCGUAAAGCGCGCGUAGGUGGUUUGUUAAGUUGGAUGUGAAAGCCCCGGGCUCAACCUGGGAACUGCAUCCAAAACUGGCAAGCUAGAGUACGGUAGAGGGUGGUGGAAUUUCCUGUGUAGCGGUGAAAUGCGUAGAUAUAGGAAGGAACACCAGUGGCGAAGGCGACCACCUGGACUGAUACUGACACUGAGGUGCGAAAGCGUGGGGAGCAAACAGGAUUAGAUACCCCAGUAGUCCCUGUCUCUUUACA